GACGAACGCUGGCGGCGUGCCUAAUACAUGCAAGUAGAACGCUGAAGCGAGGAGCUUGCUCUUCUUGGAUGAGUUGCGAACGGGUGAGUAACGCGUAGGUAACCUGCCUGGUAGCGGGGGAUAACUAUUGGAAACGAUAGCUAAUACCGCAUAAAAUGGAUUAUCGCAUGAUAAUCCAUUGAAAGGUGCAAAUGCAUCACUACCAGAUGGACCUGCGUUGUAUUAGCUAGUUGGUGGGGUAACGGCUCACCAAGGCGACGAUACAUAGCCGACCUGAGAGGGUGAUCGGCCACACUGGGACUGAGACACGGCCCAGACUCCUACGGGAGGCAGCAGUAGGGAAUCUUCGGCAAUGGACGGAAGUCUGACCGAGCAACGCCGCGUGAGUGAAGAAGGGUGUCGGAUCGUAAAGCUCUGUUGUAAGAGAAGAACGAGUGUGAGAGUGGAAAGUUCACACUGUGACGGUAUCUUACCAGAAAGGGACGGCUAACUACGUG
Molecule: ribosomal RNA, 497 nt
Filed under: uncultured bacterium
Lineage: Bacteria
Description: partial 16S ribosomal RNA
Rfam family: Bacterial small subunit ribosomal RNA
Source: RNAcentral